AUGCCUAACACAUGCAAGUCGAACGAAGUCUUCGGACUUAGUGGCGCACGGGUGCGUAACGCGUGGGAAUCUGCCUUUGGGUUCGGAAUAACAGUGAGAAAUUACUGCUAAUACCGGAUGAUGUCUUCGGACCAAAGAUUUAUCGCCCAAAGAUGAGCCCGCGUAAGAUUAGCUAGUUGGUGAGGUAAAGGCUCACCAAGGCGACGAUCUUUAGCUGGUCUGAGAGGAUGAUCAGCCACACUGGGACUGAGACACGGCCCAGACUCC
Molecule: ribosomal RNA, 267 nt
Filed under: unidentified marine bacterioplankton
Lineage: Bacteria
Description: partial 16S ribosomal RNA
Rfam family: Bacterial small subunit ribosomal RNA
Source: RNAcentral